This 374-nucleotide ribosomal RNA is filed under the name Nematoda sp. Its description in RNAcentral is "SSU rRNA". It matches the Rfam family "Eukaryotic small subunit ribosomal RNA", at positions 252 to 626 of the family's 1831-position model. Lineage: Eukaryota; Metazoa; Nematoda. The record is from RNAcentral.
UUGAACUAUUUAGCUGAUCGCACGGUCUAAGCACCGGCGACAUAUCCUUCAAAUGUCUGCCUUAUCAACUUUCGAUGGUAGAUUAUGCGCCUACCAUGGUUGUAACGGGUAACGGAGAAUCAGGGUUUGAUUCCGGAGAGGGAGCCUGAGAAAUGGCUACCACAUCCAAGGAAGGCAGCAGGCACGCAAAUUACCCACUCCCGGCACGGGGAGGUAGUGACGAAAAAUAACAAGCUGGUCUCUUUGAGUUCCGGCAUUGUAAUGGGAACAACUUAAAUCAUUUAUCGAGGAUCUAUUGGAGGGCAAGUCUGGUGCCAGCAGCCGCGGUAAUUCCAGCUCCAAUAGCGUAUAUUAAAGUUGUUGCGGUUAAAAAG